UGAGCAACCUACCCUUGACACUGGAAUAACAGUUGGAAACAGCUGCUAAUACCGGAUACGACCUUCGAUGGCAUCAUCUGGAGGUGGAGAGCUCCGACGGUCAAGGAUGGGCUCGCGGCCUAUCAGCUUGUUGGUGAGGUAACGGCUCACCAAGGCUUCGACGGGUAGCCGGCCUGAGAGGGCGACCGGCCACACGUGGGACUGAGACUACGGCCCAGACCUCCGUAGGA
This 230-nucleotide ribosomal RNA is filed under the name uncultured bacterium. RNAcentral's name for it is "partial 16S ribosomal RNA". It matches the Rfam family "Bacterial small subunit ribosomal RNA", at positions 118 to 346 of the family's 1533-position model. The record is from RNAcentral.